RNAcentral lists this transfer RNA (60 nucleotides) under Tylos sp. outgroup MM-2013. Its description in RNAcentral is "tRNA-Val". Lineage: Eukaryota; Metazoa; Arthropoda; Malacostraca; Isopoda; Tylidae. The record is from RNAcentral.
CCUUAAAAAUUUCAAUUUUUACGAAAGGACUCUUGAAUAUAAAAAAUUUUUUCUUUAGAA